Molecule: ribosomal RNA, 1431 nt
Filed under: Klebsiella pneumoniae
Lineage: Bacteria; Pseudomonadati; Pseudomonadota; Gammaproteobacteria; Enterobacterales; Enterobacteriaceae
Also listed under: 1 other name
Description: partial 23S ribosomal RNA
Rfam family: Bacterial large subunit ribosomal RNA
Source: RNAcentral
UCCAGGCAAAUCCGGAUAAUCAAGGCUGAGGUGUGAUGACGAGGCACUACGGUGCUGAAGUAACAAAUGCCCUGCUUCCAGGAAAAGCCUCUAAGCAUCAGGUAACAUCAAAUCGUACCCCAAACCGACACAGGUGGUCAGGUAGAGAAUACCAAGGCGCUUGAGAGAACUCGGGUGAAGGAACUAGGCAAAAUGGUGCCGUAACUUCGGGAGAAGGCACGCUGGUGUGUAGGUGAAGCCCCUGCGGGUGGAGCUGAGACCAGUCGAAGAUACCAGCUGGCUGCAACUGUUUAUUAAAAACACAGCACUGUGCAAACACGAAAGUGGACGUAUACGGUGUGACGCCUGCCCGGUGCCGGAAGGUUAAUUGAUGGGGUUAUCCGUAAGGAGAAGCUCUUGAUCGAAGCCCCGGUAAACGGCGGCCGUAACUAUAACGGUCCUAAGGUAGCGAAAUUCCUUGUCGGGUAAGUUCCGACCUGCACGAAUGGCGUAAUGAUGGCCAGGCUGUCUCCACCCGAGACUCAGUGAAAUUGAACUCGCUGUGAAGAUGCAGUGUACCCGCGGCAAGACGGAAAGACCCCGUGAACCUUUACUAUAGCUUGACACUGAACAUUGAGCCUUGAUGUGUAGGAUAGGUGGGAGGCUUUGAAGCGUGGACGCCAGUCUGCGUGGAGCCAACCUUGAAAUACCACCCUUUAAUGUUUGAUGUUCUAACGUUGGCCCCUGACCGGGGUUGCGGACAGUGUCUGGUGGGUAGUUUGACUGGGGCGGUCUCCUCCCAAAGCGUAACGGAGGAGCACGAAGGUUAGCUAAUCCUGGUCGGACAUCAGGAGGUUAGUGCAAUGGCAUAAGCUAGCUUGACUGCGAGCGUGACGGCGCGAGCAGGUGCGAAAGCAGGUCAUAGUGAUCCGGUGGUUCUGAAUGGAAGGGCCAUCGCUCAACGGAUAAAAGGUACUCCGGGGAUAACAGGCUGAUACCGCCCAAGAGUUCAUAUCGACGGCGGUGUUUGGCACCUCGAUGUCGGCUCAUCACAUCCUGGGGCUGAAGUAGGUCCCAAGGGUAUGGCUGUUCGCCAUUUAAAGUGGUACGCGAGCUGGGUUUAGAACGUCGUGAGACAGUUCGGUCCCUAUCUGCCGUGGGCGCUGGAGAAUUGAGGGGGGCUGCUCCUAGUACGAGAGGACCGGAGUGGACGCAUCACUGGUGUUCGGGUUGUCAUGCCAAUGGCACUGCCCGGUAGCUAAAUGCGGAAGAGAUAAGUGCUGAAAGCAUCUAAGCACGAAACUUGCCCCGAGAUGAGUUCUCCCUGAGACUUUAAGUCUCCUGAAGGAACGUUGAAGACGACGACGUUGAUAGGCCGGGUGUGUAAGCGCAGCGAUGCGUUGAGCUAACCGGUACUAAUGAACCGUGAGGCUUAACCUUACAACGCCGAAG